GAAAGAAUGAAGAAAGAAAAAAGGGGGGAUGCCUGGGGCCAGCCAGAAGACACAGAGUAGAACAUAUAGAAAGAAAGGUAAAAUACCCUGCGGCAAAAGCUAAGAGAGGAUAUUGCUGGUUAAGCAGAAGAGCCUCAGGAGCAAAAAAAGAAAUUGAAAUUUGGCUGGACAUGAUCCCACCUUUAUAGACACCUACUGUAUUCACCAUGGCAGAC
This 215-nucleotide long non-coding RNA is filed under the name Cricetulus griseus (Chinese hamster). Its description in RNAcentral is "lncRNA (ENSCGRG00000026190.1)". Lineage: Eukaryota; Metazoa; Chordata; Mammalia; Rodentia; Cricetidae. The record is from RNAcentral.